RNAcentral lists this ribosomal RNA (581 nucleotides) under uncultured bacterium. RNAcentral's name for it is "partial 16S ribosomal RNA". It matches the Rfam family "Bacterial small subunit ribosomal RNA", at positions 355 to 932 of the family's 1533-position model. The record is from RNAcentral.
UGGGGAAUUUUGGACAAUGGGCGAAAGCCUGAUCCCAGCAAUGCCGCGUGUGUGAAGAAGGCCUUCGGGUUGUAAAGCACUUUUGUCCGGAAAGAAAUCCUUGGCUCUAAUACAGUCGGGGGAUGACGGUACCGGAAGAAUAAGCACCGGCUAACUACGUGCCAGCAGCCGCGGUAAUACGUAGGGUGCAAGCGUUAAUCGGAAUUACUGGGCGUAAAGCGUGCGCAGGCGGUUUGCUAAGACCGAUGUGAAAUCCCCGGGCUCAACCUGGGAACUGAUUGGUGACUGGCAGGCUAGAGUAUGGCAGAGGGGGGUAGAAUUCCACGUGUAGCAGUGAAAUGCGUAGAGAUGUGGAGGAAUACCGAUGGCGAAGGCAGCCCCCUGGGCCAAUACUGACGCUCAUGCACGAAAAGCGUGGGGGAGCAAAACAGGAUUAGAUACCCUGGUAGUCCACGCCCUAAAACGAUGUCAACUAGUUGUUGGGGAUUCAUUUCCUUAGUAACGUACUAACGGUGAAGUUGACCGCCUGGGGAGUACGGUCGCAAGAUUAAAACUCAAAGGAAUUGACGGGGUCAUAGCUG